GAUCAUGGCUCAGGAUGAACGCUAGCGACAGGCUUAACACAUGCAAGUCGAGGGGCAGCAUGAGGUAGCAAUACCUUGAUGGCGACUGGCGCACGGGUGAGUAACGCGUAUGCAACCUGCCCGAUACCGGGGUAUAGCCCAUGGAAACGUGGAUUAACACCCCAUAGCACUUUUAUCCUGCAUGGGAUGUGAGUUAAACGUUCAAGGUAUCGGAUGGGCAUGCGU
Molecule: ribosomal RNA, 225 nt
Filed under: uncultured bacterium
Lineage: Bacteria
Description: partial 16S ribosomal RNA
Rfam family: Bacterial small subunit ribosomal RNA
Source: RNAcentral